AUGCUUCACUUUUGUGGUGUACUUAAUAUGUGCUGCUUGAUUUGUUCGGAUUCUAGUGGCAUUGUCAGUGAAGCCAGAUAAAUGUUCCUCUCGCUAUCCAGUGUAAUGACAAUGUUGCAUUUGGACGUUGGGGAACUACACAU
Molecule: small nucleolar RNA, 143 nt
Organism: Telopea speciosissima
Lineage: Eukaryota; Viridiplantae; Streptophyta; Magnoliopsida; Proteales; Proteaceae
Product: small nucleolar RNA snoR136
Exons: 1
Source: RefSeq, a predicted model, not a curated record